AAACCUACGAAACUCGAAUGAACGAACGGAGAGAUUCAUCGACAUCCGGCGGCGUACGGGCGCGCGCCUCGAUGUCGCUCGGGCGCCCCUCGCGGGUGUCGCGCGCGGCACGGGUCGCGUCCGAUUCUCGACGUCCGUCGGCGUCGUGCACUUCUCUCUCAGUAAUGCAUCGCGACCCGUUCUCUGUCGGCUUAAGCGCCGUCCGAUUCGCCCAGCGGUGGACGUUCGCGCCCACCGCUGGACCGUGACGGUGGCCGGCCGGCGGGGGACGGUAGUGGUAUGAAACGCGCACGCGCCUCGCGCGCGUCCGGCCCGACGCAAGCUCGCGCCGCACCAAGUCUCGAUCCUGCCCGAGUGCGGACCGGGACGCGGCGCCGCUGUCGUCGCUGCCGUGCAGUCUCGGACCGUGCGCGUAUCAGUCUGCGAUGAGUC
This 432-nucleotide ribosomal RNA is filed under the name Maniola hyperantus (ringlet). RNAcentral's name for it is "partial 28S ribosomal RNA". Lineage: Eukaryota; Metazoa; Arthropoda; Insecta; Lepidoptera; Nymphalidae. RNAcentral also lists the same sequence under 1 other name. The record is from RNAcentral.